UGCAAGCCUCACAGCCACCUCAGUAUGAAUGGUGGAGCUGAGGAGGACAUCUCUGGUGCAGCAAUUAAUAAAGUUAGUGAGGAGACCCAGAGAGAGAGCAAGCGCGCACGCGGUUACUGUGUGUGCAGGAUGGUUUUUAGUCACCAGUGCAAAAGUUUUAAAGUGAAAGAAAAUGUGUCAGGUCAUAUAUUGAUGCAGAUGUGCGUCUCACAAAUGCUGGCUGAAAAGAAAAAGAAAAGACGUGCAAAGUUUGCGCCUGUCCGCCAGUGAAGUGGGUUUUCAGUGAAGACUUUCUGAUGAAGAGGAGGAUGAAGACAGACAAACUGGGCCAAGGCGCAGGACUGAGAAAUAUUUUCACCACAGGACCUUCAGGCUGGUUUCCACCACAUCCACCCAUCCUAACAACUCAUGGGGAAACCACCUCAGCAAAGCUCAUCCGUUGAAAUGUUGCUGAGUCAGUUUGGGGUCAUGACAUCAUCAUCAUGAGAUGGAGGAGCUGGCGAGCAGUGACCACAGGCAGCGACAGAAGAGGGUGGUGCCUGUGUGUUGUGGUUUGUAGCUGCUGCUUCUUGGCAAACAAAUUGUGCUGUGGAGUUGCCUCAGGGAAUAAUUUGCUCAAAUGUUGAAAGGAAGAACAAAUUCAAAAGGUUUAAAAAGGCAGUAAGUAAGAUUUUUAUUGUCGCAUUGCACCAAAUGACUAUAAAACACCUGCAGGAGGCUGAUAGUGUUGUUAAUUGUCCAGGUGCUGAGGUUUCUUGGCUUUCCAAACUGUCUUUCCGGCUUGUGGGUUGUUACGGAGCAAAAUCUCCACACCCAGUGAAGUCAUGCUGAUGGUGAACACAGUAACAAACAAACUUCUCACGUUACAGAGAAAAAUUUGAAUCCAGAACAGGUCAUUUGUGUGAUUCAGGUAGAUCCGAUGAGUUUUUGAAAUGCGUCUAGGUCUACAAGGACAGAGUCACGGUGAGUUAAAAGGGAACCACGCCUUUUGAGUUGUCAAAAAGCAAAGAGAAACUAAAGCUCCUGGUUACUGUGUUAACAUUAGCCACUGGUGGUUCCAUUUUCUUUAUGCUAAGAUAAUAUUAGCAAGGCUAAUGCUGUCAUAAACACAACAUAAUUAAACAAUUUGUUUUUGGAUUUGUUUUGGAGCAUGAGGCUAAUUCGAUACUAAUACGAUACUACAGUGUAGACGUUACCUAGCUAAAAUGGACCUGUGUUACCUAUAAUGAAGGUUAGUUAUAAAGAAUGUUUGUUAAUGUAGCCUAAUUAUAUUGCUUAUUGCUGUAUUUGUGAGUAUAAAUACUGAAACAAUACUUUUUACAACCAUCAACUGUUCUAUAAUACUAUUUUGAGUAAUUAUCACAAAAGUUUUUAUGGGCAGCAGUGUCUUUUUUUUAUUAGUAAUUAGGCUUCCUGGCAGCUUUAUACUUUAAGACAAAAUGAUUAGACAGACGUAUAACUGAGCUUGUGCUGAAAAAAUUAUACCAUGCACUUGGAGUAAUACCAAUUUAAAAAGGUGCUGUACAAACUCAAAAUUUAAUGCAUAAAGUAGUUAGUGGAUUUACAUGCUAUUUUAUCCAAAAAUGAUUAAACAAAAAUGGACUCCCUGUAGUUUAUGAAGUUAAUUUAACAACACAGCUAAUGACAGCUGAUCUGAACUGUGUGUGCUUACAGGUGUUGGUUCCUCUGUUAAUGUGAGAGGUUUAAAGCUCAUCAUUACUCAGAAGUUUGAAAUUUAGGCAGGUAAAUUUUCUGACCCCAUAAUUCCAUAUUAAACUUUAAAUAGCACUACAAUUUCCAAAACACAAGUAAAGAAUGAAUGACUGAAUGAAUUUGCUGCAUCUUUCCAGUAUCUUAUUAAUCGAAAUAAAUAAAUCAGCUUUAUUACAUUAACAUACAAUUUGGUUAAAUCCAGCUCUGGUUGUGGUAUUAUAAUGAAAGGUCAUGAAAUGCACUCACCACAUAAAUUGCUCUCACUCUAGUAAGAACAAGUGCAUAUUGUGUACAGUCUAACAAUGCUUCUGUGACAACACAUCAACUGACUGACCUCAAGGACUUUUAGUGCACUUUAGCAAGUCUGUAGAAUUAAAACACUGCUUACUUUACAGCCAUUAUUUGCUUAUAAAAAAGAUUUAGCACAUGACUAACCUUUUUUUAGUAAAUGAUAUAUAAUCAAUAUUUUCUGUGUUUGGCAGCAGUUCAUGUCAGCUAGUUGAUGGAAAAACUGCAUUAAACUUUGUUUUCAAAUAUUUAAGUAAAUUGAGAAAAUUUACCUCGAACCCCAACAAAAAAUUAGUAAGCUGAUUUUUAUUUAAACAACUAUGACCAGAUUUCAUGAAUGAUCAAAAAACUGUUGAUCAUUAAGCUUCUGGGGAAGUGUUCCAGCUGAGUAACACUGGACUGUUUUGAAACUAAUACCAGGUUGUCAUUUAUGGGUUGAGUGAGUUUCAUGACCCUCAAGCUGUAAAGCUACAUUGUUAAAUUUCAAAAUGUGGUUAUCAGUGAGAACUUGCAUCAUUCUUGUGAGAUUUACUUUUCCCAAAAUACAUUUUUAUGUUCCAGCAAUAGUGAUUUUCUGUUUGUCCUGAGAUUAACACCUCAGAAAGAUAUAUGUGUUUUGUGUAGAAGACAGGAGGAUGUUUACCAAUGCUCUGUCUGUAGGCAUGGUAAUGCAUGAAAUACCACAUUUUGUCAUGUCCACACUGCAGAUUUGUAAACAACUUUUAUAUUUCUCUCUUUUGUCUGUCUGUACUGAAAACUGCACUUGUCUUAAAGCCUACUGUAUAAUGACACAUUUUAUGGUCCAGUGAUCCAUUUGAGAGACUUGCUGUUCUGUACAUGACAUCAAUUCACCCUAAACAACAGAAAGCUACAUGGCAGCACAACAAGCUGACCUGAAAAGGAUUUAGCUGCCUUUGUUUUUGCAUGUCAAUGUGGAGAGCAAGCAAUUUUUAUGAAACAAUUUUGUAAACACGAGUGUGGAUAAGACACACUAUUUUCAGACUUAAUCUGCAUUAAUAUGAACAUAGGCGAGGACCGGAUGACAAACAAUACUGAUGGAGACAAGAGACCAAGUGUUGCAUGUUGGCUAAAACAACAAUGACAGAUUCUGACACAGAAAUCUGUAUUCAUGUUUUUGACUAUUCUCUCUAACUCUCUUUGUUUUUUUUGUGAAAUAAUAGACUUCUAUUACAUCCCAAAAAUGCUGGGAACCACUGGUUUAAUCUUUAAUAUGAAAAGUAACUAGUUGCUAUGUUUGUGAGAUAAAUGUAGUGCAGUAAAAAGUACAAUAUUUCCCUCUAAAAGUAUUACUGUAAGUAUCAUCACUGUAAGUAAAGUACAAGAAAGAAAAGGAAGACAAAUUGCUCAACUUUUUAGUGUGUAUAGUUAACAUUUAUUUUGAGGGGACAACCAGCCCUUGUAGGAAAGAACAACUUGGCCAGUGGCUUCCAGAUCAUUUGAGUUUGAUACCCCUAAAUUAGGAGCUUGUCUGUGUUUUAUUUUAACACAUUAUGCUGUUAUCACAAAAUCUCAUUAACAAAACGCAAAGAGAAUGUAUCAAGUGUGAGAGAACAAAUGCUGAAAAAAACAAGGAAGAAAGGCGUGUGUUUGUGUGUGCAUAUGUGUGUUGUGUUUGAAAAAGCGUGUGAACUAGGAAGAGAGGGACAAAGACUGAACAGGAAAGAGUGCGUGUGAAGAGAGAGCAAGGUGGAGUGAGUCAGGGAGAGAGAGAAAGAGAGGAGGGGAAAUAUAUUUGUCUGCCUAUAAAGCUCAGCAUGCUUCUCGUUUUGGAUUCUGGACCCUGUCGUGUAAAGUUUAGCAGAAGUGAAUCUUGACUGUAAGAAACGAUGACAAUACACCAAUAAAACAUCUCAAACCGAG
This is a long non-coding RNA of Micropterus salmoides (largemouth bass), 3882 nucleotides long. RefSeq lists it as uncharacterized. Lineage: Eukaryota; Metazoa; Chordata; Actinopteri; Centrarchiformes; Centrarchidae. The record is from RefSeq and is a predicted model, not a curated record. The transcript is spliced from 4 exons.